UGGGGUGUUGCGCAUUCUGCGAAAAGGGGCUGCCAGCAGUACAAGCUCCAUCCGCCUCCCGCUCCCGUCCCCCGGGCCUGCCAGAUCUGCGGUACGAGUCCCCCGUGUGGGGGAGUAAAAUUGGGUACUGCAUGGGCACUGCCUCUUUUUGGAGUACUCCUAGGAAGAGCUUAGCAGUCUAAAUCCUGUGCACAACUGGAACCUUUACCUUUGGAAAGAAUAUUCCAGUGAAGAGCUGUGCAAUCUCGCUUUUCUGGACAAAUUUCAUUUUGAAAAGCUCACUGUUAUUUCAGAAAGGGGAGAGACCAGAGGAUAACACAGGUUUAAUGACUUGGUUACCUUGACAAGUCUGGAUUAUUCCCAGGAAGAACAAUCUUCCCUUUGUGGACAGAUUUCAUUUUGACAAGGUCAUUGUUUCUUUUCAAAGGUCAGAGAGCUGAGAAGGAGUGAGGCCCUCUUGACAUGACUGUUCCAGAGGCUUCACUUCAGUUCUGUACUUCCCAUUCCAAGGACUGUGUUAACCUGGAAAAUUUCAGAAGACACCCUCAGGUUCACUAUCGCAACCAUCCCACUUCUUUUUGAAAGGUUUAUUCCCUGGAAGAGCUGAGGAACCUUCCCUCUGUGGACAAAUUUCGUUUUGACAAGGUCACUGUUUCUUUUCAAAGGUCAGAGAGCUGAGGAAGAGUGAGGUCACAUGACUCGGUGCUCUUGACAUGGCUGGUGAGUGGAUGAGGAGGGAGAUACCCUGGAAGAUUUGAGAAGUGGCCCCCUCAUUCACAAAUGUCCUCAGGAUUAUUCCCAGAAGGAGCUGAGCAAUCUUCCCCUGGUGGACAAAUUUCAUUUUGACAAGGUCACUGUUUCUUUUCGAAGGUCAGAGAGCUGAGGAGGAGUGGGGUCACAUGACCUGGCGCUCUUGACAUGACUGCUGAGUGGAUGGGGUGAGAUGUGAAGUCCAGGCUUCCUGGCCAUGCAGGAUUUUUAUAUCCUGGAAGAUUUGAGGAGUUAUCCUCUUCUUUACAAAUGUCUUCAUGUAACCAUCCCUCUUCCUUUUGAAAGUCCAGUUGGCAGAAGAAUUAAGUGAUGCUAAGACAUGAAAUAGGAUUUUGCCAGGAUGACACAUCUCAUAAAUGGCUCAGAAGGGAAGACAGAAGGAAAGUCAAAAGGCUUACCUGGAAGAGGCAGAAAAGUUUCACGGAUCCUAAAAGAAGGGAGAAAAUACAAGACUGUCGCUUUAAAUGUUUGGCAGUAGACCAAAUGAAAGUAGCUGGCCCUAUAAUUUGAAGGGCUAGCAGUAAAUGGCCCUUGGACAAAUUGAGAUUUAUAUUUUACCAUUAGUGAUUAUAAAUCCAGAUUUGAUUUGGCACUGAAACUAAAUCAUCUUGUGGUCUCAUAGUGAAAUGUGUUCCCCAUCAGGAUAAUAGUGGUAAAAUGUAAAAAUGCAUUUAUUAUUUGGCAUUAAGGCAGAAGAAAAAAAUGCUAGAAAAUGCAUGGAUCAGGAAAACCUGAGUCAAAAAAAUCCAAUCUCAGCAACUAAUCUAGCCUCAAAAAUUUAUUGACUAUGUGACUUCACUUCUGUUUACCUCAGUUUCCCCAUCUGUAAAAGGGGAAAUGAAAUAAUAGCACCCACCUCCUAGGGUUUUUGUAAGGGUUAUAUGAUUGUAAAGUGCUUAACACAAUGCCUGGAAUAUGACAAGCACUAUAUAAAUGUUAACUAUUGUUAAAAUUAUUAUUUCUUUAAUCAGCUGCAACAGUUCCAUGCUUCAUACCUUUAUACCAGGUUUUAGAUAUGAUCAGUGUAAAAUGCCAAAAGUGAUCAAAUAAAGGGAUUUCUAUGUAAAAGGAAUCAGAGAUGCAUUCAGACAAACUGGCAUUCAGAUAAAUGUACCUCCAAAUUCUGUUAUGUUUUAAGAAUCCAUAAUAGUAUUUAUAUUGUUAUUAUGAUUUAAAUUUACUUUUGUUGUGGAUGCUGGGAAAAUAUUGUAUGAGACAUGCUGAAAAUUUCUUUUGAUCUAGUUACUUUGAAAUUAUGAUGUCAUUAGCAGUUAUUGUAAUAAUGUAAAAAUCUAUCAAGUAUACAGUUGAGUAUAUUUUGAAAGGGAAAAUUGAUAAUUCCUUACUGCAUGGGAAAAGGUGUAAAGAAAAUACCUCGUAAAAUCUUUUUAUUUGUAAACUUCCGAGAUUUUUUGAGAUUGUCUGCUUGGGCGACCUCAUAAAAUCUUAUCAGCCCCAUGAAAGAACUUGCUCAUGUUGUGAAAUUCCUGAACGAUGAACUGGUUUUCUGCGAAAAUGUGAUCCCCUCUUAUAACUCUUCCAAAAAUGAGGGAGAAAUAUUCAAGCCUGCUUAUAAUAAAGAGUGAGUUUCAUCUAAAGUUAUUUGCCUAUUACUUGUGAAGAUUAUGGAAUUAUGCCUGGAAUAGUAUAUACUGAAGUUGCAACUUUACCCAACUUAAUCUCAACAAAUUCCAAUCUUAAAGAUUUAUUUUUGCUUUAAGGGGCGAAUAUAGAAUACGUUAAGAGCUAGUUAACUGUUAGUCUGGAGGUUGACAGCAAUUGACCAGUGUUUUUCUGGGUUUUUGAGUAAACUCUCUUAUAUUCACUCUCUCUGUGAAAUUCCAGAAUGUAAUUAUUUUCUUCAUUUGUAAGGAUUAAUUUUUACACCUGGAUGAGUUUAAACUCAAGGAGGAGAAGAAAAAGAAGGAAAGAGUGUUUAAUAAAUUUUUAAAGGCCUGGUAAACUUUUUACUAUUGCAACACCAUGAGAACAAUAGUAACAGCUGUAUCUAGCCCUAAGCUUUGAUUAACGAAAUUUGCGAUUUGAGGUAAAAUCUCAUGGGAUUGUAAUCUGAUGUUAUCCUAAAUUUGGAUUUCUGGUAUGAUUAUAUAUAUUGUCAUGAGGCUAAUAGUUCACCAUUCAAGGGGGAUGCCAUGCACUGCCCAAAGGGAGUACAGUCUGGGAACUGCUAUUAAUGGAUAUCUCGGCCUGAAAAAAAGUUGAGGGAAUGACCUUGGCAUGGUCAAAGGGAGGAUUCUAUUGACUCAGUUUCCCCAUGGUGCUAUUCUUUUUUGAAUAGGUUUGUUUCCUACCUGGACAAUCCUGAGCUUGACUGGUUGUGAUACUCUUUGUAUGAGGUGGAACUUUGUUGCACGUUAGAAAUACUAAGAAUUUUACCUGGCCAUGUGUGAAUUUAGAAAAAAAAAUUUUUAUUUCAUGUCAUUAUUUGAUGGGGUGACUUGGCUGGCACAAGAACACUUAGCUAGGUACAAAGCUCUCUUUAUAAUACAUCCAGAUUCGAAUUUCGUGCCUCGAACCCCAUUGGUCAGCAUUUCAGGGUUCACUAAACCCCACCCCUUGAUCAUAUCCCUUCACCUCCACACCUCAAUCCCCUUUUCUCUUCUCAUCCACAUAGACCCCUUUCUUUAUAUUUUUAGCUUCCUUUCCAUUUUUCUGCAUCAGAUAGCAUGAGAAAGGAUCCCUCUCAAUUGCUAAAGGGAAUUGACAAAAACCAUGAGUUUGAAGAUUCAAACCCAGGAUAUCAAUGAUAAAAGAACCCAUCUUCUAAUACUGAGUCUAGUUUGAGUCUUAUCCUUUUGUGAUUGACACCUGGCCUGGCAGUUCUUUUGAGAUACUGGGACAGGCCUUCUUGGAACAAAGAGAGGAGUCUGCCUCAUAGAUAUGCUGAUUUUCAAGGGGCCAAACUCCUCAACUGCUUCAAAAGCAAUUUCAUUUCCUAUAAUUAACUAUAAUUAGUAUGGCUUCAAAUCUUAUUUUCAUAUAAUCUCUGUGGAAACAAAAUUCAAUCAUACCUUACAUUGCAUGAUUCACUUUUCUUAAAAUUUAACUACAACUUAGCUGAAAUCAAACACAGCUAAGGAUGCGUUAUUCUGAUAUGCAUUUCUGGAGUCAUUCUGUGCCCUUAGACUUAGGCCUAGAGGACUAGUUUUGAUGCUGUUCUACCUAGUCUCUCCUUCUUCCUCUUAUAGCAAAUUUCUUGUCAGAGAAUUUGAACAGUGGAAGUUUGUCAUUGCAAUGCUAAAUAAGUAUGUUUUAAGCAAAUUCAUUUGUUUAACCUCUUGAUAAGCAUCUACUUACAAUGAGUGCUGAUAGCUAUGAAUUCAUGUAUAGGAUAAGAUCCUUAAAAUGUCUCCUCCUGCUUGAGGGGAAUUACCAGGCAUGGAAAAUUUGAGAAAGCAAGAAGAUCAGACGAUUAUAUAUACAGACCUUGAAUGUGUUAUAAUAAUAAAUUCUAAAAAUUGGGUUCAGGACCUUAUAUAUAAAAUUGCAUUGAUAAUUGUAAAGAAAAAGAAACACCAAGUGGUAUGUAAUAACUGGGAGUUUCUGGAGUUUCUGGGUUCCUAAUUUGAUGUUCUCAUAGCUCCAUUGUUAAUAAGACCAGAAUCAUAAGACUUGAGCAGUUUUUUUUUACCACAUGAAUUGGUUAUUGGAAAAAUCACAUUUAAGAGGUUAUACUAAAUUAUAUUGAGCCUGGUUACAGACAGAUUUGAGUAGGAUUACCUAGGAAUCUCUUCAAGUGCCUUGGAAUCAGAGAUGCAAACCCACUGGAAAGAGGCCACUUCAGAGUUGCCCUCGGAAUGAGGCCUAUUCCUGAAAGACCAAGGGAAGACAUUAUCUGGGACUCAAGAUAAAAUGUGUUGAUUAAGUGAACAUUGGGAGUGGGUUACAAGGAAAAUUGAUGUUAUUUCACAUUAAUCACUAUUGUAUUACUUUGGUCUUUUGAUUCAUGGUAUUUAUAUUUACUGAAUUUUCUUGGUGACUUUGUUGAUAUAUAAAUCUCUCCUCUAAAAUUAGCACAGGGCGAGCUCUCUAAAUGACUUGAUGUGUAACCUGCUUUACUUUAUAUAUAGAACUUAUUUAAGAAGGUUUAUGUCCUUGGGGGAUACAUGAGAUUAUGAUUCCAUACCUAAGAUUAUUUGACUUUAUGACAUUGAUGGAAACAUGGGAUUAUGAUUUGUGAUACUCAUGGCUACAGUACACUUGUUUCCUUUUAUAAGUUUAAGUCCCCUGGCUUAUAGCCACAGAUGCUUGCUCAAAAUGAUGCGGCAUGAGCAGCAGAGAGCAAGAUGAUGCAGUUGAGGAUAAAAGAGUGAGGUGAAACCAGUUGUGCUGCUGUUCCAUAUAUAUGUUUAGCACCAAAUGGGGGGAUUAUAGAAAGUCCUGCUUGUCAAUCACUUUUGGGGGAGGCAUCAGCCCGUCUGCAGCUUUUGUAUUAUCACCUGCUAUCCCUCACAUAUCUAGUCACCUACUACCUGUUAGCCUGCAUGUCCUGGCAGUUGGGGAGGAGCUGAGGUGCAAUGUCCCAUCCCCUUUUGCUAAUGCAGACCUAUCUGAAAUGUCUUUAUCUUGUUAUUAAAGUUAUCAAUAAAAGCUGGCUCCAUCUUAAA
RNA transcript from Trichosurus vulpecula (common brushtail), 5399 nucleotides. It is a transcript of the gene named E3 ubiquitin-protein ligase DTX3L-like, with no coding region annotated. NCBI's taxonomy places the organism in Eukaryota, Metazoa, Chordata, Mammalia, Diprotodontia, Phalangeridae. The record is from RefSeq and is a predicted model, not a curated record. The transcript has 17 exons.